AAUACUGUGAGAAACAUGAGGUAAACUGAGCCACAGGGAGGACUGCAAUGUCAACCUCACCUAGAUGUCUACAAUACCUUACUCCAAAAAGAUUCUCACGGUGACAGAGUUUUGACUUUGUGGAAAAGGAAACUGCGAUCUAUAUUUGAAAAAAAAAAUUAUCUAAAAAGAGUACCUGUUGCUGCCAGUGAAUCACCAGCUAAGGAAGAAGCCUUAUGUGGGAGUACAGCCACUUGUCUUCUCCA
RNAcentral lists this long non-coding RNA (245 nucleotides) under Dromaius novaehollandiae (emu). RNAcentral's name for it is "lncRNA (ENSDNVG00000005136.1)". Lineage: Eukaryota; Metazoa; Chordata; Aves; Casuariiformes; Dromaiidae. The record is from RNAcentral.